Molecule: RNA transcript, 2106 nt
Organism: Macadamia integrifolia
Lineage: Eukaryota; Viridiplantae; Streptophyta; Magnoliopsida; Proteales; Proteaceae
Exons: 12
Source: RefSeq, a predicted model, not a curated record
UGCAGUGAGUGCAGUGAUCCGAUGAGUACCGGAUUUCAGAUGACCGAGAAGACCUCGGGGUACGUGCACCUCGCGUGUCUUCCUUUUUCGCGCCAUCGUUGCACGUUUAUGAUUUGGUAAUAACUGCAAACCCCUCCACCUUACAAAGAACGAACCACGAAGUGCAAAAUAGAGAUCGAAAGGGCAUAUCUCUCGCUGCUCGGAGCCUCGGGCAGAGGAUAAAUCUGCAAACUGCAAUUCCCUCAGUUUGGCGGAGGCGUCUCUUUGCGUUGUCGAGUAUGUGGGUCUUACCAUGCAACGCCUCUGUUAAUUCUUUACGGCUAUUCAAGCCUUCCAAAGCUUUGGUCUCAGUUCGUUCGAGCUCUCUAAUGUCCGCUCAUCAUCAUCCCUUCGUUCCAGAGGUUGCAGAAGCCGUUGAUUCCUUGUACUCGGACUUCAAAGCUGUGGAUAAUUUGGUGGCGCACAAUUCCGUCCGUGUUCUUAAAGCUUACCAGAAUGCGCGGGUUGGAUCUCAUCACUUUGCAGGAUCCACUGGCUAUGGUCACGAUGAAGCCGGGGGGCGUGAAGCACUUGACAAAGCUUUUGCAGAAAUUGUUGGGGCAGAGUCAGCAAUAGUUCGAUCUCAGUUUUUCUCUGGUACUCAUGCCAUCGCUUGUGCUUUAUUUGCUUUUCUUAGGCCGGGGGAUGAGCUUUUGGCAGUUGCCGGUGCUCCUUAUGACACGUUAGAGGAAGUUCUUGGAAUUAGGGACUCUCAUGGACUUGGUUCUCUUAAAGAUUUUGGGGUGAAAUACCGAGAAGUUCCACUUGCAGAAGAUGGUGGACUUGACUGGAAAGCACUUACAAUUGCUCUGAGACCGCAAACAAAGUGUGCCCUCAUACAGAGGUCUUGUGGUUAUUCAUGGCGCUGUAGUUUGAGUGUAAAUGAGAUAGGGAGAGCAAUAAAGAUAAUCAAGAUGCAGGAUCCAAACUGCUUGGUUAUGGUGGAUAAUUGCUAUGGUGAAUUCGUAGAAAGUAUCGAACCUCCUAUGGUGGGUGCAGAUUUAAUUGCAGGCAGCUUGAUAAAAAAUCCAGGUGGAACUAUCGCACCAUGUGGCGGAUACAUUGCGGGGAGGGAAAAGUGGGUUAAAGCAGCAGCAGCUCGUCUUUCUGCCCCAGGUCUGGGGGUAGAUUGUGGCUCAACCCCUGGGGAUAUAAUGCGGGCAUUUUUUCAGGGCUUGUUCCUUUCACCACAAAUGGUUGGGGAAGCAAUCAAGGGAAGUCUUCUGAUUGCUGAAGUCAUGGCAUCUAGAGGAUAUAAAGUACAGCCACUACCUCGAGUACCCCGCCAUGAUACAGUCCAGGCAGUACAACUUGGAAAGCAUGAGCUUCUACUUGCUUUCUGUGAGGCUGUACAACGAAGCUGCCCAGUGGGUUCUUUUAUCAAACCGGUUGCUGGUUCAACUCCUGGAUAUGCAUCAGAGAAUACUAACGGUUUCCAGAGAAGGGAACAACAUUUGAGGAUCUGAAUCAAGACCCAAAGCAUCACAUUUGGAGAGUUGUUGGUGGAUUUGAAGUUGCCAAAGAUUAAAUUGAAGAUAUUGGUAGAAUAGCACGACCACUAGCUUUGGGAGCCAGUUCACUUUUCUCUGUGAUCUGGUAUCGGUUGGAGAUGAAAGCUGGACCAUUUGAGUCGCCAUUGGGUCCCAUCUCAAGAACUGCUUUCCGCUGGGUGGUACCCACUGGACUCAGUGGGGAUUAGUUCUCGGAGAGGUUUUGAAAUCCGUAUAAUCUUAUGAUGACCCUGGGAGUUGACCCCCAGGUACUGUAUGACCUCAUCCUGACAAUACUACUAUGCUCCUUCGAAAUCUGUGGAAGGCUGUUUGUUGAUUUCAUGAUUGGGGAUGAGAGAGGUUUUCAUUACUGCAAAAGGGAAUUCCAAUAGAGCAUCAAUCUUCAAUUCCAGGUGGUCACAGAUUCAAGUCCACCUCAAUAUUUGUUUCAUGGUAACCAGAUGUUCCUUUUGGAUACCUACUUUUCUGAUCAGCUAGACAUGUUGGACUAAUAGUGUAAACUGUAAAAUGUUAAUGACCAAUUGAGCGAAAAGAACAAAUUGAUUUUGAGAGAGGA